Molecule: ribosomal RNA, 434 nt
Filed under: uncultured bacterium
Lineage: Bacteria
Description: partial 16S ribosomal RNA
Rfam family: Bacterial small subunit ribosomal RNA
Source: RNAcentral
AGCGAACGCUGGCGGCAGGCCUAACACAUGCAAGUCGAACGAACCUUUCGGGGUUAGUGGCGGACGGGUGAGUAACACGUGGGAACGUGCCUUUAGGUUCGGAAUAACUCAGGGAAACUUGUGCUAAUACCGAAUGUGCCCUUCGGGGGAAAGAUUUAUCGCCUUUAGAGCGGCCCGCGUCUGAUUAGCUAGUUGGUUGAGGUAAUGGCUCACCAAGGCGACGAUCAGUAGCUGGUCUGAGAGGAUGAUCAGCCACAUUGGGACUGAGACACGGCCCAAACUCCUACGGGAGGCAGCAGUGGGGAAUCUUGCGCAAUGAGCGAAAGCCUGACGCAGCCAUGCCGCGUGAAUGAUGAAGGUCUUAGGAUUGUAAAAUUCUUUCACCGGGGACGAUAAUGACGGUACCCGGAGAAGAAGCCCCGGCUAACUUCGUG